CAUGCAAGUCGAGGGGUAGAAUAAGCUUGCUUUUUUGAGACCGGCGCACGGCUGAGUAACGCGUAUGCCACCUACCUUAUACUGGGGAAUAGCCGGAAUAAAUUCGGAUUAAUGCUCCAUGGUUUAUCGAUAUGGCAUCGUGUUGAUACUAAGGAUUUAUCGGUAUAAGAUGGGCAUGCGUAUCAUUAGCUAGAUGGUGUGGUAACGGCAUACCAAGGCAACGAUGAUUACGGGUCCUGAGAGGCAGAUCCCCCACACUGGUACUGAGACACGGACCAGACUCAUACGGUGGGCAGCAGUGAGGAAUAUUGGUCCAUGGAGGCAACUCUGAACCAGCCAUGCCGCGUGCACGAUGACGGUCCUAUGGAUUGUAAACUGCUUUUGUACAGGAACAAACCUCCCUACGACUAGGGACUUGACGGUUCUGUAAGAAUAAAGAUCGGCUAACUCCGUGCCAGCAUCCGCGGCAAGACGGAGGACCCCAGCGUUAUCCGGAAUUAUUGGGAUUAAAGGGCUCGUAUGCGGGUUUGUAAGUCAGUGCUGGAAUUUCCUAGCUGAACUAGGACACUGCCAUUGAUACUGCGAAGCUUGAAUAAUAUGCAAGUAACUCGAAUAUGUAGUGUAGCGGCGAAAUCCUUAGAUAUGACGUGGACUACCAAUUGCUGAUCGCAGGUUACUACGUAUUUAUUGAUGCUGAUGAACGAAAGCGAGGGGAGCGAACACCAUCACAUACCCUGUUACUUCGCGUAGUUAACGAUGUAUACUACCUGCUCGGUUUUCGGCACUGAUUCGCUAAUCUAAAGUGAUAAGUAUCCCAGGCCGGGGUACGAUUCGCAA
RNAcentral lists this ribosomal RNA (837 nucleotides) under Myroides odoratimimus. Its description in RNAcentral is "bacterial SSU rRNA". It matches the Rfam family "Bacterial small subunit ribosomal RNA", at positions 54 to 891 of the family's 1533-position model. Lineage: Bacteria; Pseudomonadati; Bacteroidota; Flavobacteriia; Flavobacteriales; Flavobacteriaceae. The record is from RNAcentral.